GAGUGAACGCCGGCGGUAGGCCUAACACAUGCAAGUCGAACGGCAGCACAGUAAGAGCUUGCUCUUACGGGUGGCGAGUGGCGGACGGGUGAGGAAUACAUCGGAAUCUACUUUUUCGUGGGGGAUAACGUAGGGAAACUUACGCUAAUACCGCAUACGACCUACGGGUGAAAGCAGGGGAUCUUCGGACCUUGCGCGAUUGAAUGAGCCGAUGUCGGAUUAGCUAGUUGGCGGGGUAAAGGCCCACCAAGGCGACGAUCCGUAGCUGGUCUGAGAGGAUGAUCAGCCACACUGGAACUGAGACACGGUCCAGACUCCUACGGGAGGCAGCAGUGGGGAAUAGUGGACAAUGGGCGCAAGCCUGAUCCAGCCAUACCGCGUGGGUGAAGAAGGCCUUCGGGUUGUAAAGCCGUUUUGUUGGGAAAGAAAAGCAGCAGGUUAAUACCCCGCUGUUCUGACGGUACCCAAAGAAUAAGCACCGGCUAACUUCGUG
RNAcentral lists this ribosomal RNA (493 nucleotides) under uncultured bacterium. Its description in RNAcentral is "partial 16S ribosomal RNA". It matches the Rfam family "Bacterial small subunit ribosomal RNA", at positions 27 to 507 of the family's 1533-position model. The record is from RNAcentral.